RNAcentral lists this ribosomal RNA (264 nucleotides) under uncultured archaeon. RNAcentral's name for it is "partial 16S ribosomal RNA". It matches the Rfam family "Archaeal small subunit ribosomal RNA", at positions 716 to 982 of the family's 1478-position model. The record is from RNAcentral.
ACAGUCACACAUUAGAUACCCCUGUAGUCCCAGCCGUAAACUAUGCGCGUUAGGUGUAUCGGUGACCACGAGUCACCGAGGUGCCGAAGGGAAACCGUGAAACGUGCCGCCUGGGAAGUACGGUCGCAAGGCUGAAACUUAAAGGAAUUGGCGGGGAGCACAACAACGGGUGGAGCCUGCGGUUUAAUUGGACUCAACGCCGGGAAGCUCACCGGAUAAGACAGCGGAAUGAUUGCCGGGCUGAAGACUCUGCAUGACUAGCUG